This 611-nucleotide unclassified non-coding RNA is filed under the name Hevea brasiliensis (rubber tree). Lineage: Eukaryota; Viridiplantae; Streptophyta; Magnoliopsida; Malpighiales; Euphorbiaceae. The record is from RNAcentral.
AGAAAAGAAAAGAAAAGAAAGAAGGUGCUGGUUCUGUAGUUGUUCUAUUUAAUAUUUGCAGCGGUAAGAAAAUAAGAAGGAAGAACAUUGGUCUUCCCUCUGUCUACCUGCCUGUCUCUGCCAGUUUCCAUGUCAGUGACAUUUUUUUUGUCCUUUUUUUAAAAAAAUAUUUUUAUCCUUCUUUUAGAACUCAAAACGUAUCGUUGAGCUUCUUUCUUUGUUGAGACCCAUUUGAAAUUUUUGUUUUUCUUGCAUUAUCCUUCUUUUUUGGUUUUGGGUUGCAGCUUUGUUCGUUUCCGAGCUAUGGAAAGUUUGAAGAUGGGUGCUUUUUUGUUAUGUUUUUCCUUUUUCUACGAGGCCUGUAAACCAGGAAGAACUGGAGCUUAAACAGUGUAAGAAUAGCAGAGUCAUGAUAUGGGGUGAAAGCUUUGUUCUUUGGGUUAAUCAGUGAAGACAAUCACACAAAUUUGGAGAGAUCUGCGUUCAGCUUUUUGCGUAUAACUACGAUGAAUUGAGACUUUAUCUGGGCUUUGCUCAUUUUAUUAUGCUUUGAAGUUAAACUUGGAGCGUAUUCUUUUGACUAUACUGAAGAAAUGGGUUGUGUAGCAUCA